UGGGGAAUAUUUGGCAAUGAGCGAAAGCUUGACCAAGCAAUACCGCGUGAAGGAUGAAGGCCUUAGGGUUGUAAACUUCUUUUCUGAUUGACGAAAUUUUGACGGUAUUUCAGGAAUAAGCAUCGGCUAACUUCGUGCCAGCAGCCGCGGUAAUACGGGGGAUGCAAGCGUUAUCCGGAUUUAUUGGGCGUAAAGCGUUCGUAGAUGGUUUUUUAAGUUUAAUGUUAAAUUACAAAGCUCAACUUUGGACGUGCUUUAAAAACUGAAAAACUUUAGUACAAUAGGGGUAAAGGGAAUUUUCAGUGUAGCGGUGAAAUGCGUAGAUAUUGGAAAGAACGCCUAUAGCGAAAGCACUUUACUGGGUUGUUACUGAAAUUGAGGAACGAAAGCUAGGGGAGCAAAGC
This 404-nucleotide ribosomal RNA is filed under the name uncultured bacterium. RNAcentral describes it as "partial 16S ribosomal RNA". It matches the Rfam family "Bacterial small subunit ribosomal RNA", at positions 355 to 774 of the family's 1533-position model. The record is from RNAcentral.